RNAcentral lists this long non-coding RNA (2021 nucleotides) under Marmota monax (woodchuck). The record is from RNAcentral. Lineage: Eukaryota; Metazoa; Chordata; Mammalia; Rodentia; Sciuridae.
CUGGAAGGCCUGCUGCCCAGAUCUUGACUCUUGGCACUGUUACAGGGCACAGCUACUCUCUGGUGGCUCUUAAAGCUUCAAGAUGUUUGUCCCCGGGUGGGCAACCUGGGCUAGUUACCUCCUUUUGUCCAGAGGCUGAGAGCCUCAGUGCCUGAGUGGAGCCGGGACUGCUGACCCUUCCCCCUGGGGAUGCCCAUGAAGCUCCCGUCCCAAGGCCCUGGACCAGCAGUGGAUGAACUGGAGGCUGGGCGUGAGUGGUCGGUGGCUGGGCCUCACCUGAGAUGCCAGUUCCCCUUCCAGCAUGGAGUCCAGCCCCACAGCUGCACUGCCAGGCCCAGCUGGGCAUACUGGCAGAUGCAGGAGGGGCAGGAGUGGAGGCAGGGCCCUGGGCUUUUCUGUCCAGCUGGGGAUGUGCCCACGGCAGCCCUAGCCUGGGGCUGCUGCAGAGACCUGGCUCCUGGCUGCCUUCCUGUUUGGAGCAUCAACAGGCCUGGGCCAUUUCGGCUUCCAGAGAGGGCACAUUAGAGUGCAGUUGCCUAGUAUUUCCCCACGUUAGGGGAGGGGAUACGUGCCGCAGGGCUCAGCUCUGCACCCAGGCUGAGCCCUGGACCGCCUGCUCCCCUCCAACCUAGACUGCUCUGGAGGCCAUUCGAGAACCACCAGAGAGACAGUUUCUGUGCCCCACUGAGGGAGUCAUAGGAUUCUCCGUGCUCUGGAAUCCAGAGCAGGCCCAGUGGGUUCUGCUGCCUUGGGGGCAAGACUCACCAGUACCCACAGUGACAGAGCCCUGUCCCCAGUCCUCGGUGUGGUGAACCUCAGGGCCCCAGUAGCCUCUGAUGGGGCCAACUGGACUCUGGUGCUAUUGCAAGGAAGGACAGGGAAGAGGAGGCCUGGUGGGGGAGGUGAGGGGGCCGCGUGCCGCCCGCCCAGAGGGACCCUUCACCUGGCCAAGUGUGGUCUGCACCGAGGCUCUGACGCCAUCGGUGCCUACCCGUCCUGGACAGGGAAGCCCACUGCCCUCCCGCUGGGGCAGGCACGUCCAGCCAUGCCCAGAAGCCAGACCACUGCCUGGGCCUAAGCUCCGCAUGAGGUCAUUUAUCUGUGACAGUUUCAGGGGCAUUUAGGCCUCACAGGAGGUAGAUGAAGACCAGAACUGGGUGGGAGAGAGGACGGAGGAGGUAGGUGCUUGGUUCUGCUCACACAUGAGACGUGGGGUGGGAAGGAGGGAGGCAACCCAGCCAUGGGGUCCCCCUGGUCAGCUUUAGUGACCACUGCUUGGCGGCAGAUGUGGCAGCAGGACUGAGCCUCCCUCCUGAUUUGGAAUCUGGCCCCCUGUCCAGGCAGCCACCCAAAAGCCUAUUCUUAGGCUGUUUGGGGCUGAGCCUCGGGAAUCCCAGACCCUCCAAAUGAAGCCGCCCUCUUGCCCGCUCACCCCCACCUGGCCUCCCAGGACCCCCAACCCGCUGCCGGCUCCCCCAGCUCAUAAAUCUCCCCCAUCAGAAAUGCUGAGUUAUGAAGCGAAGGGAUGGAAAGUUCUCUUAACCUUGACGAUGUUUUUCGCACGUCAUUUGAGGUUUCCUGUGCCUCUAGCUGUGGCCCUCCGCUGGGCUGGCUCUUUCACAUUUAAUGGGCAUGGCCAACGGCUGGCCCUCUGGGGCGUGUGCAGCCAGGACCUGAGGCGUCUGCCGUCAGCUCGCCUGAUGGAUUCUGAGCAUGCGGGGGGAGCAAGGCCCCGUGUCCACCCUCGGCCUGUGUCCUGAGUGCCGUGGCUACACCACCCUCUCAGGGGCCAGCAGCAUCGCGUCUGCCUGAUGGCCAGGAUGAGUGGGAAGCAGGGGAAGCUCUGCUUCUCACCCUGACCCCUCCUUGAAGGACCCCAAGGUGAUUCAAAGCAAGUGCUAGGCCUGGUGGCUCCUUUCCUGAUGGUCGGUGCACACACACACACGGCACCCGCAUGCUUGUGCAAACGGGCACAGGCGCACACACGGAUUACGACUUAUGGCGACCACAGCAGAUGAAAC